This 490-nucleotide ribosomal RNA is filed under the name uncultured bacterium. RNAcentral's name for it is "partial 16S ribosomal RNA". It matches the Rfam family "Bacterial small subunit ribosomal RNA", at positions 30 to 507 of the family's 1533-position model. The record is from RNAcentral.
AUUGAACGCUGGCGGCAGGCCUAACACAUGCAAGUCGAACGGUAACAGGAAGAAGCUUGCUUCUUUGCUGACGAGUGGCGGACGGGUGAGUAAUGUCUGGGAAACUGCCUGAUGGAGGGGGAUAACUACUGGAAACGGUAGCUAAUACCGCAUAACGUCGCAAGACCAAAGAGGGGGACCUUCGGGCCUCUCGCCAUCGGAUGUGCCCAGAUGGGAUUAGCUAGUAGGUGGGGUAACGGCUCACCUAGGCGACGAUCCCUAGCUGGUCUGAGAGGAUGACCAGCCACACUGGAACUGAGACACGGUCCAGACUCCUACGGGAGGCAGCAGUGGGGAAUAUUGCACAAUGGGCGCAAGCCUGAUGCAGCCAUGCCGCGUGUAUGAAGAAGGCCUUCGGGUUGUAAAGUACUUUCAGCGGGGAGGAAGGGAGUAAAGUUAAUACCUUUGCUCAUUGACGUUACCCGCAGAAGAAGCACCGGCUAACUCCGUG